RNAcentral lists this transfer RNA (84 nucleotides) under Fibrobacterota bacterium. RNAcentral's name for it is "Fibrobacteres bacterium tRNA-Leu". It matches the Rfam family "tRNA". Rfam says of the family: Transfer RNA (tRNA) molecules are approximately 80 nucleotides in length. Their secondary structure includes four short double-helical elements and three loops (D, anti-codon, and T loops). Further hydrogen bonds mediate the characteristic L-shaped molecular structure. tRNAs have two regions of fundamental functional importance: the anti-codon, which is responsible for specific mRNA codon recognition, and the 3' end, to which the tRNAs corresponding amino acid is attached (by aminoacyl-tRNA synthetases). tRNAs cope with the degeneracy of the genetic code in two manners: having more than one tRNA (with a specific anti-codon) for a particular amino acid; and 'wobble' base-pairing, i.e. permitting non-standard base-pairing at the 3rd anti-codon position. The record is from RNAcentral. Lineage: Bacteria; Pseudomonadati; Fibrobacterota. RNAcentral also lists the same sequence under 1 other name.
GCGCAGAUGGCGGAACUGGUAGACGCGCUAGAUUCAGGUUCUAGUGAUCGAGAGGUCAUGGAGGUUCAAGUCCUCUUCUGCGCA